RNAcentral lists this ribosomal RNA (443 nucleotides) under uncultured bacterium. RNAcentral describes it as "partial 16S ribosomal RNA". It matches the Rfam family "Bacterial small subunit ribosomal RNA", at positions 338 to 795 of the family's 1533-position model. The record is from RNAcentral.
CCUACGGGAUGUAGCAGUGGGGAAUAUUGGGCAAUGGGCGCAAGCCUGACCCAGCCACGCCGCGUGAAGGAAGAAGGCUUUCGGGUUGUAAACUUUCUUUUUGAGGGACGAAGAAAGUGACGGUACCUCAGGAAUAAGCCACGGCUAACUACGUGCCUGCAGUCGCGGUAAUACGUCGGCGGCAAGCGUUAUCCGGAUUUAUUGGGUGUAAAGGGUGAGUAGGUGGGAAAGCAAGUCAGAUGUGAAAACUCAGGGCUCAACCCUGAGCCUGCAUUUGAAACUGUUUUUCUUGAGUGCUGGAGAGGCAAUCGGAAUUCGGGGUGUAGCGGUGAAAUGCGUAGAUAGACGGAGGAACACCAGUGGCGAAGGCGGAUUGCUGGACAGUAACUGACGCUGAGGCGCGAAAGCGUGGGGAGCAAACAGGAUUAGAUACCCUUGUAGUC